GCUCAGAAACUUAAUGAAUUGACGGGGCCCGCACAAGCGGUGGAGCAUGUGGUUUAAUUCGAUGAUACGCGAGGAACCUUACCUGGGCUCAAAUGUAUGUUGACGUAUUCUGAAAGGGAUACUUCUUCGGACAAUAUACAAGGUGCUGCAUGGUUGUCGUCAGCUCGUGCCGUGAGGUGUCGGGUUAAGUCCCAUAACGAGCGCAACCCCUAUCAUUAGUUGCCAUCAGGUCAAGCUGGGGACUCUAAUGAAACUGCCUACGCAAGUAGUGAGGAAGGUGGGGAUGACGUCAAAUCAGCACGGCCCUUACGUCCAGGGCUACACACGUGCUACAAUGGCCGGUACAAAGGGCAGCUACCUGGUGACAGGAUGCUAAUCUCAAAAGCCGGUCUCAGUUCGGAUCGGAGUCUGCAACCCGACUCCGUGAAGUUGGAUUCGCUAGUAAUCGCGCAUCAGCCAUGGCGCGGUGAAUACGUUCCCGGGCCUU
This 487-nucleotide ribosomal RNA is filed under the name uncultured Sphingobacteriales bacterium. Its description in RNAcentral is "bacterial SSU rRNA". It matches the Rfam family "Bacterial small subunit ribosomal RNA", at positions 904 to 1382 of the family's 1533-position model. Lineage: Bacteria; Pseudomonadati; Bacteroidota; Sphingobacteriia; Sphingobacteriales. The record is from RNAcentral.